UACAACUUCGGUAGUACAAAAAAUGCUAAAACAGGAACGAUACAGAGAAGAGUAGCAUGCCCCUGCGCAAGGAGGAUAUGCAAAAUCGUCAAGUGUUCCUUAUUAUU
Molecule: small nuclear RNA, 107 nt
Organism: Centruroides sculpturatus (bark scorpion)
Lineage: Eukaryota; Metazoa; Arthropoda; Arachnida; Scorpiones; Buthidae
Source: RefSeq, a predicted model, not a curated record